Molecule: ribosomal RNA, 450 nt
Filed under: uncultured bacterium
Lineage: Bacteria
Description: partial 16S ribosomal RNA
Rfam family: Bacterial small subunit ribosomal RNA
Source: RNAcentral
CCUACGGGGGGCUGCAGUAAGGAAUAUUGGUCAAUGGACGCAAGUCUGAACCAGCCAUGCCGCGUGGAGGAUGAAGGUCCUCUGGAUUGUAAACUUCUUUUAUUUGGGAAGAAACCCACGAUUUCUAUUGUGGUUGACGGUACCAGAUGAAUAAGCACCGGCUAACUCCGUGCCAGCAGCCGCGGUAAUACGGAGUGUGCAGGCGUUAUCCGGAUUCACGGGGUUUUAGGCGGGCGUAGACGGGAGUGGUGAAAUCCCCGAGCUUAACUUGGGAACUGCCGUUGAUACUAUCUGUCUUGAAUACUGUGGAGGUAAGCGGAAUAUGUCAUGUAGCGGUGAAAUGCGUAGAUAUGACAUAGAACACCUAUUGCGAAGGCAGCUUGCUACACAGUCAUUGACGCUGAGGCACGAAAGCGUGGGGAUCAAACAGGAUUAGAUACCCCAGUAGUC